GGGGGGGGGGGGAGGUGGCAAUGGGCAAAUAGUAGCUAGAGGUACAAAAUAAGAGACUCAUGAAGUGAACAGCUUUACCAUGAUGAACAUCAUUUGUCACAGGUGAAAAGAAACAACUUUAACAUAAGUGAGAAUAGGGCAUUGUUCUGACACAGGCAAAAUGUCUAUGCAGUCAUAGUGGCAUGCCAGUGUUGGUAUAUCGUAUUUUACAAGAAGACGGCAAUUUUUUAAUAACAAUUCACCCUCUGUUUUAAAUUACUAUGAAAGAAAUGUGGAAAUAGUAUUAAGGUUUUGUGUGUUGUCAGGAUUCCUUCAAGAAUUAAUGGAUUGGUUACUUCAAUGUGUCUGAGUUAAGAGUUCAUCCUUUUUUAGUCAGUGAUAAAACCCACCAUGAUUAUCUGAAUCGUAAUGUUAUAAUUCUGACUUUGUGUUCAUUUCUGUUCUAAUAAAUGUGUUUAUGUAUAAAGUGUCACUCACAUUUUAUUAAAGUAAUUUUGACAUCCAUGAUAAAACUGUUACCUAACAUUUGCGUAUUCUGAUAGUCCCCGUUUCUUCCCCUUUCUUUAAAUUUUUUUGUCAGCCACACACAUGUACCUGGCAAAAAACUUUCACACUUUUUAGCUAAUUUUUGUCUUAUUUAAGCAAGGGGAAAUCCAGGAUGGAAUAAUGACAAUAUUAUGAAAAGGAUAGUUGAUACUCACCAUACAGAGGAGAUGCUGAGUUGCAGGUAGGCACAACAAAAAGACUGUCAAAUAAAUAAGCUUUUGGCCAAAAAGGCUUUUUAUCGGAAUUAAACACACACACACAUCAUGACCAUUGUCUGUGGCUACCGAGGCCAGACUCACUGUUAUUAUUGCUUACUCGUAAACUAAUUAUGAACUGGUCUGCCAUCAACAUGACAAUGGCUUCACUAUAUGAUAAUCAGUAUUACUGGUUUCAAGGUGCACAACAGCAUGAUUAUCAGCACCCUUGCAGAAUAUGAAUGUAUAAAUUUAGCAAUCUUCGUGGGUAAGCCAGUAUGGCUUCGACAGCCGGAGACUGUGGUCGCGUCUGUGAAUUGCAUUUAUUGUGUGUGUGUGUGUGUGUGUGUGUGUGUGUGUAUUUGUAAUUCCAAUGAAGGCCAUUUUUGCCAAAAGCUUAUUUAUUUGACAGUCUUUUUUGUUGUGCUUAUCUGUGACAGCAUCUCAGAAUGCUAUAUGGUGAGUACCAACUAUCCUUUUCAUUAUAUUAUCUUGUCUUAUUUAGUAGUUUAUAUCUUGACUGAUACAUAGUUUUAUUAAAGUAAGAGGGAAGUGCAUGAAUGUGUAUGAAGACGUGCUAGCACCCAUGAGUAAUUCUUAGUAUUCUUUUUAUUAUAUAGAUAAUCAGUUGCUUUGUGUAUUGUCAUUGACAGACAGUUGUUGAAGUGUCAUAUCUAUAUCUACAUCUACAUAUGUAUAUGUGGUACCAUGGGCAUUUAUCCAAGAAGACCGCUUAAAUCGUGCAGUCAUAUUUGGCAAGGGUGCUGAUAACGAUGCUGUUGAACACCUAAAAAUCAGUAUCAGUAACUUAAUUACCGUAUAGUGAAAGUAUUGCCAUGACAAUGACAAACCAGUUCACUAUUAGUUUAUAGGUAAGCAGUAAUAACAACAGUGAGUGUAACGGUAGUAGCAACAGUGAUGCUGAAGUGUUUCAGAAGGCAUUGACAAAACCAUCAUGAGAUGUGUUGCUGACAGGAAUGGAAACCAGUUCCUAUAGCCACAAGUUAACAAGUGUGUGCCAUUUGACGCAGCUCUGUUUUUAAAGUGGGUGAUGAAAGGGGUACUUGCCUGCCUGCCCCUGUUCACUUCCUCAUGGGCAUAUCACAGCUUAUGCUACACAUUUCUGCUUAUAACACCAAUGAUAUUCCACUAGAAGUAGUGUGUGAGAAGAUGAAAAUGAUUGAGCAUUGUUCAUUAGUGUGUGCUUAUAAAAUUAAUGUACAAAUAAAAAAUUAAAGGUGUAGAUAGUCAAAUGAGAAAUACUUCUGGCCACAAACUAAAAACAAACUAUAGCAAUACUAUUAGUAAAUGGAAACCUCUGAUCAAAUUGCCACCUACAUUGUCAGAAAAAAGUUGGCAUUCUUCCAGUACUACAGACUUCAGUAAUAUUGUUGCAAAGGUCUUACGUAAAUACACUGUAUAAGAAACACAAAUACAACUGCAUCAACAGCAAAAGUAUUACAUACAUCAGCAGAAAUAACCAACAUUUGAAAAUAUAAUAUGUUUAGAUAAAAAAUCUACUCACCUAAUGGUGGUAGGUCAAAAUGCAUGUGAAAGAUACAGAAAUGCUCAAGCUUUUGGAGCCAGUAGUAUAUAUAGUAACUCUUUCCAUUGUAGCAAUUUGCUGCUAUAGUUCUGGAUUUUUACUUACAUUCAUUAGAGCAUUUAGAUAAUAGUGUGUUCUUAGAGCAACAGUUAAAAGUAGUAGAGUGCCAACAUUAGAGAAAAAAACCACUUCACUUCUUUAAAGAGCUACUUAUUACUUGUACUUCUUAAUGUUAAGUUUAAAAUUAAUUUCACUGUUAUAAUUGUGAACUAGAAAAUAAUAUUGUGCAAUGAAAACUAUAGAUUGGUGAUUAGAUUAAGACAUUAGCUUCACUACAUGAUUAGCUUUAACACAUUAAUUCUAAUCUCUUGUAAUAUUUGGAUGAUGAUAAAUAAAUUACAAAUUCAAAGUUA
RNAcentral lists this long non-coding RNA (2699 nucleotides) under Schistocerca americana (American grasshopper). Its description in RNAcentral is "uncharacterized LOC124612902". The record is from RNAcentral. Lineage: Eukaryota; Metazoa; Arthropoda; Insecta; Orthoptera; Acrididae.